CUUUCACAAUCAAAAAUUGCACAAGAAAAAGAGGAUUUUGAUCAGGAACUUGAAAAGGCUAAUAAAUAUCUACAAAGCACUGAAUGCCUGAACAACAAACUUAAAUUGGAAAACAAAGCUGUGCACCAGAAGCUUGAGCGAGCACUGGAAGAAGAAAAACACUGGGCCAGAAGAAGAGAUGAGAUGGAGGCAAAAAUAGCCAAGGAAAGUAAUGCAAAGGAACUGGCAUCUCUAGAGCAAAAAUUGAAGGCAGAAAAUAAGAUGAG
Long non-coding RNA from Lagopus leucura (white-tailed ptarmigan), 266 nucleotides. RefSeq lists it as uncharacterized. The record is from RefSeq and is a predicted model, not a curated record. NCBI's taxonomy places the organism in Eukaryota, Metazoa, Chordata, Aves, Galliformes, Phasianidae. The transcript is spliced from 3 exons.